This 254-nucleotide ribosomal RNA is filed under the name uncultured bacterium. Its description in RNAcentral is "partial 16S ribosomal RNA". It matches the Rfam family "Bacterial small subunit ribosomal RNA", at positions 524 to 776 of the family's 1533-position model. The record is from RNAcentral.
GACGUAGGGGGCAAGCGUUGUUCGGAAUUAUUGGGCGUAAAGCGCUCGUAGGCGGGAUUGGAAGUCCGUGUUGAAAGACCUCGGCUCAACUGAGGGACCGGCUCGGAUACUCUAAUUCUUGAGGCAAUCAGAGGAUGAUGGAAUUCCCGGUGUAGCGGUGAAAUGCGUAGAUAUCAAGAGGAACACCUGAGGUGAAGACGGGUUGCUGGGCCGACACUGACGCUGAGUGCGCGAAAGCCAGGGGAGCAAACGGG